UGCUGGAGGUAUCAGAAGUGCGAAUGCUGACAUAAGUAACGAUAAAGCGGGUGAAAAGCCCGCUCGCCGGAAGACCAAGGGUUCCUGUCCAACGUUAAUCGGGGCAGGGUGAGUCGACCCCUAAGGCGAGGCCGAAAGGCGUAGUCGAUGGGAAACGGGUUAAUAUUCCCGUACUUGGUGUUACUGCGAAGGGGGGACGGAGAAGGCUAUGUUGGCCGGGCGACGGUUGUCCCGGUUUAAGCGUAUAGGUGUGUGUUCCAGGUAAAUCCGGUUCACUUUAACACUGAGGCGUGAUGACGAGGCGCUACGGUGCUGAAGCAACAAAUGCCCUGCUUCCAGGAAAAGCCUCUAAGCAUCAGGUAACAUCAAAUCGUACCCCAAACCGACACAGGUGGUCAGGUAGAGAAUACCAAGGCGCUUGAGAGAACUCGGGUGAAGGAACUAGGCAAAAUGGUGCCGUAACUUCGGGAGAAGGCACGCUGACAUGUAGGUGAAGUGAUUUACUCACGGAGCUGAAGUCAGUCGAAGAUACCAGCUGGCUGCAACUGUUUAUUAAAAACACAGCACUGUGCAAACACGAAAGUGGACGUAUACGGUGUGACGCCUGCCCGGUGCCGGAAGGUUAAUUGAUGGGGUCAGCGCAAGCGAAGCUCCUGAUCGAAGCCCCGGUAAACGGCGGCCGUAACUAUAACGGUCCUAAGGUAGCGAAAUUCCUUGUCGGGUAAGUUCCGACCUGCACGAAUGGCGUAAUGAUGGCCAGGCUGUCUCCACCCGAGACUCAGUGAAAUUGAACUCGCUGUGAAGAUGCAGUGUACCCGCGGCAAGACGGAAAGACCCCGUGAACCUUUACUAUAGCUUGACACUGAACAUUGAGCCUUGAUGUGUAGGAUAGGUGGGAGGCUUUGAAGUGUGGACGCCAGUCUGCAUGGAGCCGACCUUGAAAUACCACCCUUUAAUGUUUGAUGUUCUAACGUGGACCCGUAAUCCGGGUUGCGGACAGUGUCUGGUGGGUAGUUUGACUGGGGCGGUCUCCUCCUAAAGAGUAACGGAGGAGCACGAAGGUUGGCUAAUCCUGGUCGGACAUCAGGAGGUUAGUGCAAUGGCAUAAGCCAGCUUGACUGCGAGCGUGACGGCGCGAGCAGGUGCGAAAGCAGGUCAUAGUGAUCCGGUGGUUCUGAAUGGAAGGGCCAUCGCUCAACGGAUAAAAGGUACUCCGGGGAUAACAGGCUGAUACCGCCCAAGAGUUCAUAUCGACGGCGGUGUUUGGCACCUCGAUGUCGGCUCAUCACAUCCUGGGGCUGAAGUAGGUCCCAAGGGUAUGGCUGUUCGCCAUUUAAAGUGGUACGCGAGCUGGGUUUAGAACGUCGUGAGACAGUUCGGUCCCUAUCUGCCGUGGGCGCUGGAGAACUGAGGGGGGCUGCUCCUAGUACGAGAGGACCGGAGUGGACGCAUCACUGGUGUUCGGGUUGUCAUGCCAAUGGCACUGCCCGGUAGCUAAAUGCGGAAGAGAUAAGUGCUGAAAGCAUCUAAGCACGAAACUUGCCCCGAGAUGAGUUCUCCCUGAGACUU
This 1569-nucleotide ribosomal RNA is filed under the name Salmonella enterica subsp. enterica serovar Oranienburg. RNAcentral's name for it is "bacterial LSU rRNA". It matches the Rfam family "Bacterial large subunit ribosomal RNA", at positions 1271 to 2823 of the family's 2925-position model. RNAcentral also lists the same sequence under 1 other name. Lineage: Bacteria; Pseudomonadati; Pseudomonadota; Gammaproteobacteria; Enterobacterales; Enterobacteriaceae. The record is from RNAcentral.